This 961-nucleotide ribosomal RNA is filed under the name uncultured cyanobacterium. RNAcentral describes it as "bacterial SSU rRNA". It matches the Rfam family "Bacterial small subunit ribosomal RNA", at positions 381 to 1358 of the family's 1533-position model. Lineage: Bacteria; Bacillati; Cyanobacteriota. The record is from RNAcentral.
ACCUGACGGAGCAACGCCGCGUGAGGGAUGAAGGCCUCUGGGCUGUAAACCUCUUUUCUCAAGGAAGAAGAUCUGACGGUACUUGAGGAAUAAGCCACGGCUAAUUCCGUGCCAGCAGCCGCGGUAAUACGGGAGUGGCAAGCGUUAUCCGGAAUUAUUGGGCGUAAAGCGUCCGCAGGCGGCCUUGUAAGUCUGUCGUUAAAGCGUGGAGCUUAACUCCAUUUCAGCGAUGGAAACUACAAGGCUUGAGUGUGGUAGGGGCAGAGGGAAUUCCCGGUGUAGCGGUGAAAUGCGUAGAUAUCGGGAAGAACACCAGUGGCGAAGGCGCUCUGCUGGGCCAUAACUGACGCUCAUGGACGAAAGCCAGGGGAGCGAAAGGGAUUAGAUACCCCUGUAGUCCUGGCCGUAAACGAUGAACACUAGGUGUCGGGGGAAUCGACCCCCUCGGUGUCGUAGCCAACGCGUUAAGUGUUCCGCCUGGGGAGUACGCACGCAAGUGUGAAACUCAAAGGAAUUGACGGGGGCCCGCACAAGCGGUGGAGUAUGUGGUUUAAUUCGAUGCAACGCGAAGAACCUUACCAGGGUUUGACAUCCUGCGAAUCUCUUGGAAACGAGAGAGUGCCUUCGGGAGCGCAGUGACAGGUGGUGCAUGGCUGUCGUCAGCUCGUGUCGUGAGAUGUUGGGUUAAGUCCCGCAACGAGCGCAACCCACGUCGUUAGUUGCCAGCAUUUAGUUGGGCACUCUAGCGAGACCGCCGGUGAUAAACCGGAGGAAGGUGUGGAUGACGUCAAGUCAUCAUGCCCCUUACAUCCUGGGCUACACACGUACUACAAUGCUACGGACAAAGGGCAGCAAACUCGCGAGAGCUAGCAAAUCCCAUAAACCGUGGCUCAGUUCAGAUCGUAGGCUGCAACUCGCCUACGUGAAGGAGGAAUCGCUAGUAAUCGCAGGUCAGCAUACU